AGGCAUUAAGAUUCCUCCUCGAGGUAAUAUAUUUGUUGUUGUUUUUAAUAUUUUAACAUGUUGCCUUUGGACUACCUUGAACGACAAAAUUUCAUGAUUUCUUCCAUGAUAAAAUAAAAUUAAUCUAUUAUUUGGCAUGGUAUUGUCUUAAGUUGAUUGGAAUUUAAAAGAGUAACAGGAAGCCAAAUGCACCAAGUUUCUGAGUUAUAUAGACAUUUUUCUAUGCUACCCAAAUAGUGGUGAUGUAUAAUUUUACUGGCAGUGGCAAGUCUUUGGUUCUUUAUACUUGGGCCAAAUAUGCUCACCAGGUUUUAGCUUGAAUUUCCACAUAUAUAAUGGAAUCUUAUAUGAAGUUCUCAGAUGUGGUAUAGUAAUGACCACCAUAUUAAUUUCUUUUACAUUGGUCACCAACUCACCAUGCUUGUUUGAAUAGAAGAGAAUGGAAUUAUAAAUUUUGGUGCAGAAGUAAAAUACCAUUUUUGACUCCUGUCUAUUCAUGUCAGGGCAAAUCUAUUCUGUAAAUGA
Molecule: unclassified non-coding RNA, 525 nt
Filed under: Hevea brasiliensis (rubber tree)
Lineage: Eukaryota; Viridiplantae; Streptophyta; Magnoliopsida; Malpighiales; Euphorbiaceae
Source: RNAcentral